This 252-nucleotide ribosomal RNA is filed under the name uncultured bacterium. Its description in RNAcentral is "partial 16S ribosomal RNA". It matches the Rfam family "Bacterial small subunit ribosomal RNA", at positions 524 to 776 of the family's 1533-position model. The record is from RNAcentral.
UACGUAGGUGGCGAGCGUUAUCCGGAAUGAUUGGGCGUAAAGGGUGCGUAGGCGGCCUGCUAAGUCUGGAGUGAAAGGUACCGGCUCAACCGGUACAGGCUCUGGAAACUGGCGGGCUAGAGAGCAGGAGAGGGCGGUGGAACUCCAUGUGUAGCGGUAAAAUGCGUAGAUAUAUGGAAGAACACCAGUGGCGAAGGCGGCUUCCUGGUCUGCAACUGACACUGAGGCGCGAAAGCGUGGGGAGCAAACAGG